RNAcentral lists this transfer RNA (73 nucleotides) under Halomicrobium mukohataei. RNAcentral's name for it is "tRNA-Lys". It matches the Rfam family "tRNA". Rfam says of the family: Transfer RNA (tRNA) molecules are approximately 80 nucleotides in length. Their secondary structure includes four short double-helical elements and three loops (D, anti-codon, and T loops). Further hydrogen bonds mediate the characteristic L-shaped molecular structure. tRNAs have two regions of fundamental functional importance: the anti-codon, which is responsible for specific mRNA codon recognition, and the 3' end, to which the tRNAs corresponding amino acid is attached (by aminoacyl-tRNA synthetases). tRNAs cope with the degeneracy of the genetic code in two manners: having more than one tRNA (with a specific anti-codon) for a particular amino acid; and 'wobble' base-pairing, i.e. permitting non-standard base-pairing at the 3rd anti-codon position. Lineage: Archaea; Methanobacteriati; Methanobacteriota; Halobacteria; Halobacteriales; Haloarculaceae. RNAcentral also lists the same sequence under 9 other names. The record is from RNAcentral.
GGGCCGGUAGCUCAGUUGGCAGAGCGUCUGGCUUUUAACCAGACGGUCGGGGGUUCAAGUCCCUCCCGGCCCG